Penaeus vannamei (Pacific white shrimp) is the source of this 148-nucleotide non-coding RNA. The record is from RefSeq and is a predicted model, not a curated record. Lineage: Eukaryota; Metazoa; Arthropoda; Malacostraca; Decapoda; Penaeidae.
GAUACCAAGAUAUAGAAGCAGAGAAACAGAGGAAGGAGGAAGAAAGGUUGGCCGCUAUGCAGAGAGAGUUCCGGCGUGAACAUGCAGCUAGAAUAAUCCAACGUGCUUGGCAACACUUCAAGAUGAGGAAAAUGCUUAAGAAGGCACA